AAGAAAGAUGGCUGAGUGGUCUAUAGCGACAAAUUGCUAAUUUGUUUAUACAUAAAUUUAAUAAAAUGUAACAAGGGUUCAAAUCCCUUUCUUUCU
This 96-nucleotide transfer RNA is filed under the name Nephromyces sp. ex Molgula occidentalis. RNAcentral's name for it is "tRNA-Ser". It matches the Rfam family "tRNA". From Rfam's summary of the family: Transfer RNA (tRNA) molecules are approximately 80 nucleotides in length. Their secondary structure includes four short double-helical elements and three loops (D, anti-codon, and T loops). Lineage: Eukaryota; Apicomplexa; Aconoidasida; Nephromycida. The record is from RNAcentral.